AUUUUUUCAUUGAUUUUUGAUGACCAUCCAACUUUUUUAAGUGAUGCAUAAGAACAACCUCCAUCCAUUUUCACAUGUAUCUAGGACAGUUCAUCUGUGUGAAAACAAAUCAAACCUCACUUCUAUCUAAGACAUGGAGGGUUGCACCUCUUCUAGUUUUUGGAAGGAGUUGGUGGUGCCUGCAGCCGCAGCAGCAGCAGCAGAAGCUCGUCAAAGUGGUCUGAGGUGGUACUUCAACAUCCAGCAGGACCUUUCUCUUUACGAGUUCCAGAGUUCGAUCCAUUUGCCCAUUCUGGGCAUCACCCAGGCGAGGCCUUUGUUCUUCUUCAGGGGCAACCCAAGCUAGGGAAAUGAAUAAUAUAAGAGCCAAAGAUGACACCUAGGUUAUUUUGUGAAAAUGGUUAUUCGACUAGAGAGGAAGAGAUGCAGCGAAGACUGUCAGGAAGCAUAACAACAGCAAGCAAAAUGAUCAUUUAGUCAAGAUAGAUGGGAUCAGUAAGCAAGCAAGGCAGAAGUCUGAGAGGAAAAACUGUGUAAUUAAACUCUCUUUUCAUUUUUCAUCUUGCUUGAAAUAAGUAUCCAAAAUUUGUAAUAGAUUCUCUUUUAUUUUAUUUGGAACAUCAUAUGUAUACUCAAAAAUUCUUUAAUGUAUUAAUCUUUGUAAUAUGAUCGCUUUGGUGUA
Phoenix dactylifera (date palm) is the source of this 682-nucleotide long non-coding RNA. RefSeq lists it as uncharacterized. NCBI's taxonomy places the organism in Eukaryota, Viridiplantae, Streptophyta, Magnoliopsida, Arecales, Arecaceae. The record is from RefSeq and is a predicted model, not a curated record.